GCCUACGGGGGGCAGCAGUGGGGAAUAUUGCACAAUGGGGGAAACCCUGAUGCAGCGACGCCGCGUGAGUGAAGAAGUAUUUCGGUAUGUAAAGCUCUAUCAGCAGGGAAGAUAAUGACGGUACCUGACUAAGAAGCCCCGGCUAACUACGUGCCAGCAGCCGCGGUAAUACGUAGGGGGCAAGCGUUAUCCGGAUUUACUGGGUGUAAAGGGUGCGUAGGUGGCAGGGCAAGUCAGAUGUGAAAGCCCGGGGCUCAACCCCGGUACUGCAUUUGAAACUGACCAGCUGGAGUGCAGGAGAGGUA
RNAcentral lists this ribosomal RNA (305 nucleotides) under uncultured bacterium. Its description in RNAcentral is "bacterial SSU rRNA". It matches the Rfam family "Bacterial small subunit ribosomal RNA", at positions 337 to 659 of the family's 1533-position model. The record is from RNAcentral.